This 253-nucleotide ribosomal RNA is filed under the name uncultured bacterium. RNAcentral describes it as "partial 16S ribosomal RNA". It matches the Rfam family "Bacterial small subunit ribosomal RNA", at positions 524 to 776 of the family's 1533-position model. The record is from RNAcentral.
UACGAAGGGGGCUAGCGUUGCUCGGAAUCACUGGGCGUAAAGCGCACGUAGGCGGACUCUUAAGUCGGUGGUGAAAUCCUGGAGCUCAACUCCAGAACUGCCUUCGAUACUGAGAGUCUUGAGUCCGGGAGAGGUGAGUGGAACUGCGAGUGUAGAGGUGAAAUUCGUAGAUAUUCGCAAGAACACCAGUGGCGAAGGCGGCUCACUGGCCCGGUACUGACGCUGAGGCGCGAAAGCUAGGGUAGCAAACGGG